AAGCCUGUGACGCAGUGGUUAGCGUGUCGUUCUUAUAUUGUAUGCUCCUGUAGCAUCCAUUAUGACUUCUUUCGAGGAAUGCGAAAGUCGCGAGUUCAAGUCUCGCCAGGAUCA
Transfer RNA from Cladophialophora immunda, 114 nucleotides. It matches the Rfam family "tRNA". Rfam says of the family: Transfer RNA (tRNA) molecules are approximately 80 nucleotides in length. The record is from Rfam. Lineage: Eukaryota; Fungi; Ascomycota; Eurotiomycetes; Chaetothyriales; Herpotrichiellaceae.